Molecule: ribosomal RNA, 496 nt
Filed under: uncultured bacterium
Lineage: Bacteria
Description: partial 16S ribosomal RNA
Rfam family: Bacterial small subunit ribosomal RNA
Source: RNAcentral
GAUGAACGCUGGCGGCGUGCCUAAUACAUGCAAGUCGAGCGAACGGACGAGAAGCUUGCUUCUCUGAUGUUAGCGGCGGACGGGUGAGUAACACGUGGAUAACCUACCUAUAAGACUGGGAUACUUCGGGAAACCGGAGCUAAUACCGGAUAAUAUUUUGAACCGCAUGGUUCAAAAGUGAAAGACGGUCUUGCUGUCACUUAUAGAUGGAUCCGCGCUGCAUUAGCUAGUUGGUAAGGUAACGGCUUACCAAGGCAACGAUGCAUAGCCGACCUGAGAGGGUGAUCGGCCACACUGGAACUGAGACACGGUCCAGACUCCUACGGGAGGCAGCAGUAGGGAAUCUUCCGCAAUGGGCGAAAGCCUGACGGAGCGACGCCGCGUGAGUGAUGAAGGUCUUCGGAUCGUAAAACUCUGUUAUUAGGGAAGAACAUAUGUGUAAGUAACUGUGCACAUCUUGACGGUACCUAAUCAGAAAGCCACGGCUAACUACGUG